UACGGAGGGUGCAAGCGUUAAUCGGAAUUACUGGGCGUAAAGCGCACGCAGGUGGCUAAGUCAGUCGAUUGUGAAAGCCCUGGGCUUAACCUGGGAAUUGCAGUCGAUACUACUUAGCUUGAGUAUGGGAGAGGGCAGUGGAAUUCCCGGUGUAGCGGUGAAAUGCGUAGAUAUCGGGAGGAACAUCAGUGGCGAAGGCGGCUGCCUGGCCCAAUACUGACACUCAGGUGCGACAGCGUGGGGAGCAAACAGG
RNAcentral lists this ribosomal RNA (253 nucleotides) under uncultured bacterium. Its description in RNAcentral is "partial 16S ribosomal RNA". It matches the Rfam family "Bacterial small subunit ribosomal RNA", at positions 524 to 776 of the family's 1533-position model. The record is from RNAcentral.